AGGUCUUAAAGGGUUUAAUUAAAGGCUUUUUAAAUUCACCAUCAGUGUGCCUUGGAAUCUUUGGCAGGCCUUAUCAACAGUCACUGGAGCUAAGUCUGACCAUAAUUUUGAGCAACUUUAUUUCCUUGAGCCAAAGUGCACCUGCUUAUGAGAAAAAAAGUGAAACAGCACUCCUCCAUAAUCAGCAUUCCUAGUGAACAGUUGAAUUUUUUUUAGCAUAUGUAGAAAAGACCAACUUACUAGCCACUUUGAGUCAUUAUUAAGUGUGUGUUUUAAUAGUAAAAUUCUUUCCAUUUUGGCUGGUGGAGAAAAAAGUUAAUUAACAACCCAGUGUAUAACUGUAGGAGCAGACUGUACAGUGAAAGUGAAUCCUGCCUGGACUUAACAGACCCCUAUACCUAGAAUGACCCAAACAUUUGACUAUUGCUCUUGUCACAGGUCAGUCCAUGAGCCCACGUCUUCAGGCCAGGGGCCCGAGAGAAAUUUCCAGUGACAUGGAUCAACAGAGAUCCUCAAACAGUCAGUCCAUGUGCCACGUUCCAGCCAGGGACCAAAAGGGGGACUUUCGUCAUGGGGCCAGACAGACAUCCUCAAGCAAAAUAGAGAGAUGCAUCCAGGCCACCCACUAGGAGGUGGGAAAUCGUACGAAGAGGUGGCUGUACCUGGCAGCAGACUGAGAUGGGGUGAGGAAGAGAAGCACAGACCAAGAACGGAAUGUCAGACAUUUGCCCUUUUUUAUGCCCAGCACACACAGACACACACACACACACACACACACACACACACCAGCAUAUAAACAUGCACAUAGACACAGGCGCACGUGCACACACAUACACAGACUCUCAAACAAGAUGAGUCUCUGGUGAUGUUGGCAAAUAAUCUGAAUCCAUACACACGGCAAUGAUUCCACCAUGGUGCCCCACCUACGCAAGUCCUGUCCUUCAGCA
This is a long non-coding RNA of Engraulis encrasicolus (European anchovy), 947 nucleotides long. RefSeq lists it as uncharacterized. Lineage: Eukaryota; Metazoa; Chordata; Actinopteri; Clupeiformes; Engraulidae. The record is from RefSeq and is a predicted model, not a curated record. The transcript is spliced from 3 exons.